This 780-nucleotide ribosomal RNA is filed under the name Neocallimastix frontalis. Its description in RNAcentral is "partial large subunit ribosomal RNA". It matches the Rfam family "Eukaryotic large subunit ribosomal RNA", at positions 38 to 667 of the family's 3401-position model. The record is from RNAcentral. Lineage: Eukaryota; Fungi; Neocallimastigomycota; Neocallimastigomycetes; Neocallimastigales; Neocallimastigaceae.
GCAUAUCAAUAAGCGGAGGAAAAGAAACUAACAAGGAUUCCCUUAGUAACGGCGAGUGAAGCGGGAAGAGCUCAAAUUUGAAAUCUUCAAGGUUCUACCUUGACGAAUUGUAGUUUAAAGAAGUGUUUUCUGUUAGAUGAGUAGCAAAAGUUCCUUGGAAUGGGACAUCAUAGAGGGUGAGAAUCCCGUAUUUGGUUAUUCAUUCUAGCUUUGUGAUACACUUUCAAAGAGUCGGAUUGUUUGGGAAUGCAGUCCAAAAUGGGUGGUAAAUUUCAUCUAAAGCUAAAUAUUGGCGAGAGACCGAUAGCGAACAAGUACCGUGAGGGAAAGAUGAAAAGAACUUUGAAAAGGGAGUUAAACAGUACGUGAAAUUGUCAAAAGGGAAGCAUUUGACACCAGUGUUGUUUUUCCGAAAAUCAAUUACGAAUGGCUUGAUUUUGUGUUGUAUUGACCUUAUCAGCUUUCUUCACUUUUUUCGAGUCUUUCUUAAUACACUUUUCGGUUAACAAGUCAACAUCAAUUUCUUUUGUUGUAAAAGAGUAUUCGGAAGGUGGCUUUCUUUUCGGAGAAAGUGUUUAUAGCCCUAUACUUCUACAAUCGGAGAGAUUGAGGUCUGCAGCGUAGAUCCUUCGGGGUUAGAUACACUUGUGCUAAGUUGUAGCUUUUCAUAGACAACUUGUUGACUAUGUUUAGUCAUGCGGCUUACUCGCUUGUGCUAUUUUACCUACGCUUAGGAUGUUGACAAAAUGGUUUUAAACGACCCGUCUUGAAACACGGACC